AGGGCGGCACCUUGACGGUACCUAACCAGAAAGCCACGGCUAACUACGUGCCAGCAGCCGCGGUAAUACGUAGGUGGCAAGCGUUGUCCGGAAUUAUUGGGCGUAAAGGGCUCGCAGGCGGUUUCUUAAGUCUGAUGUGAAAGCCCCCGGCUCAACCGGGGAGGGUCAUUGGAAACUGGGGAACUUGAGUGCAGAAGAGGAGAGUGGAAUUCCACGUGUAGCGGUGAAAUGCGUAGAGAUGUGGAGGAACACCAGUGGCGAAGGCGACUCUCUGGUCUGUAACUGACGCUGAGGAGCGAAAGCGUGGGGAGCGAACAGGAUUAGAUACCCUGGUAGUCCACGCCGUAAACGAUGAGUGCUAAGUGUUAGGGGGUUUCCGCCCCUUAGUGCUGCAGCUAACGCAUUAAGCACUCCGCCUGGGGAGUACGGUCGCAAGACUGAAACUCAAAGGAAUUGACGGGGGCCCGCACAAGCGGUGGAGCAUGUGGUUUAAUUCGAAGCAACGCGAAGAACCUUACCA
RNAcentral lists this ribosomal RNA (520 nucleotides) under Bacillus subtilis. RNAcentral's name for it is "bacterial SSU rRNA". It matches the Rfam family "Bacterial small subunit ribosomal RNA", at positions 458 to 976 of the family's 1533-position model. The record is from RNAcentral. RNAcentral also lists the same sequence under 1 other name. Lineage: Bacteria; Bacillati; Bacillota; Bacilli; Caryophanales; Bacillaceae.